RNAcentral lists this ribosomal RNA (298 nucleotides) under uncultured beta proteobacterium. Its description in RNAcentral is "partial 16S ribosomal RNA". It matches the Rfam family "Bacterial small subunit ribosomal RNA", at positions 1091 to 1397 of the family's 1533-position model. Lineage: Bacteria; Pseudomonadati; Pseudomonadota; Betaproteobacteria. The record is from RNAcentral.
CACGAGCGCACCCUUGCCUUAGUUGCUACGAAAGGGCACUCUAAUGGGACUGCCGGUGACAAACCGGAGGAAGGUGGGGAUGACGUCAAGUCCUCAUGGCCCUUAUAGGUGGGGCUACACACGUCAUACAAUGGCUGGUACAGAGGGUUGCCAACCCGCGAGGGGGAGCUAAUCCCAUAAAGCCAGUCGUAGUCCGGAUCGCAGUCUGCAACUCGACUGCGUGAAGUCGGAAUCGCUAGUAAUCGCGGAUCAGAAUGUCGCGGUGAAUACGUUCCCGGGUCUUGUACACACCGCCCGU